RNAcentral lists this unclassified non-coding RNA (2290 nucleotides) under Anthonomus grandis grandis. Its description in RNAcentral is "monocarboxylate transporter 12-like". Lineage: Eukaryota; Metazoa; Arthropoda; Insecta; Coleoptera; Curculionidae. The record is from RNAcentral.
CUUCGGCCGGUCGCGAGUAACCAAAAAAAAAAAUUAAUUUAAUUUAAUACAAAAAAAAACAAUUGAACACUCGACCGGUUUCCACUACACCACGUGCUUCUCUUUUGAUCAUUUUUUUUUUUUUUUUUUUGAUGAUAUGCCCCCCGGUAGUCGUUUGUUUUUUUUUUUGGGGGGGGCCCCCCCGGGACCGCCGCCGGUGUCUUUAAUUAACUUACUAGCGGAUAAGUCGUGGUGAUGUAUGGAGGGUCGUUAUCUCGCCACCCGGACGCACAUCGGACCAAUAAAUCGCACCCCUCCCAGAUGCAUUUUGGACUGAAUAUUGUUUAGAUGGCUGCCGUGACGGACGAGCCUUCGAACCAAGAAGACCGUUCCCGUCCGAACCUGACCCGUUCCAGGAGUCUGCCGCAGUUCUCCCACCACGAUUCGGGCCUGGGCAGUUUCUACGGGGGCUCGGGGGGCGAGGAGGUGCCCGGGUACAAAGGGACCCGCUUCGUGGCCGACCUACGUCAACUGAUUACGCUGAAACAACAUUAUUAUCCCGAGGGAGGCUGGGGCUGGAUGGUACUCUGGACCGCCAUGACGGUGCACGUGUUGGCCAACGGGUUCACGGCAUCGGUGGGGGUUUUCCAGUUGGAAAUCGUCCGGAAGUUCGGUGCCGAUUUCCGCAAACAAACCGAAUGGUUGGGUGCUCUCGCUACCGGAAUUUCCCUGCUGAUUUCCCCCGUGGUGAUCGCCUUCUGCAAGAAAAAGUCCACCAGGGUGACGGCGGUACUGGGCGGACUAAUCCUGGCCCUCGGAUGCCUCUUUACCAGUUUCGCCACCCAGUUUCACCAGUUAAUGUUCAGCUACGGCACAGUGUUGGGCAUAGGAGUGGGAGUGACCAGGGAUUGCGCUAUUCUGAUGGUCGCCCAAUACUUCAAAAGAAGAAGGGAACUGGUGGAGGUGUUUAUCGUAGCGGGAAGCGGUUUGGGCAUAGUCCUGAUGUCCCUAAUGGUCAGGAGCACGAUCAGUUCUUUAGGUUGGCGUCUCGGUUUGCAGACGAUCACCGGCGCCCUGUCCGCCACCUUCUUCCUGGGGAUGUUUUAUCGCUCCGCGUCGCUGUAUCAUCCGCAGAGACGCGCCAUUUUGCACAUCAAGAACCAGAAACGGAAGAUCCGCGAUAAAAAUCGAGCGGACGAUAAAAACACCUUUUUCGACCUGAGCGCGUUGAAAAGCGUCACGGUGAGGAUCCUGCUGGUGUCCACUGCGAUCACCGCGUUCGGCAUUAACACGCCGCUCUUUUGUUUGGCCUAUCAGGCACAGGUGGAAGGUUUAGACGAUUGGGUGAUUUACGUGCAAAUCUACUUGGGUCUGGCCUGGUCCUUAGGUUGUACCAUCUUCAGUGCGUUGGUACUGCACAAAACGAGCGAGUGCAGGAUAGCGAGGCAGUACCUCUGCCAGUCGGCGGUUUUUAUGUGCGGACUCUCGGUACUCGCUUUUACCGUCGUCAAUGACAAUUACCACGCGUACGUCAUGUUCGCCUGGAUCUACGGUUUCUUCUACGGCGGGUACCACUACUCCCUGAAGAUGUACACGUACGAACGCGUACGCGCCCGUCACUUCUCCAGGACGUGGGGCUUUGUGCAGUUCUCCCAAGCGAUCCCCAUCGCCGUGGGAAUCCCCUUGUCAGGAUACCUGAACGACGAGUACGGCAACAGGUCCGGGUACUACUUCAGCUCCGUCUGCACCCUGGUGGGCAGCCUCACCCUCUUCCUCACCGAUUUCCAUCGGUACCGUAUCGCGAAACACAAACACCCGAGGGAAAACGGUACCAGACGAACCGGAGAACGAGCACGGGGCGUAUGGACACGCGGGGGCGGCGGAAACGGCCGCUUUUGUUUUGGGCGGCGAGGCGGCGGCGGCGGCGGUACAAAAUGGCGGCAGGGGAGACAGCGGGGCGGCCGUGUCCGCCGCCGACAAGGGCGAGUUGACUUGUAUAUCGGAAGAAGGUAUAGCGGAUAUGGACCUGCCGGACGACCUACUGGACGACCUGGACUACAUCGGGGACUGUAUCACCUCCUGUAACAAAGUGGAGAAUUAUCUGAUGCUCAGCGAGUUCGAGAAUAAUCUGUUUGCCGAGAUGCCCUCGAUUCUGGAUCGUAGGGGGCGUAGGUGGUCCUUGGCCGGAUUCGUGCACAGCAAAGAGUGCGAACAGCAUCAGGAACUAAAAAACGGCCGUCGGAAAUCCGGCGGCAGGUGGAACCCGAAGGGGAUCAACGCGGUGGACGAGUCCUCGGUGUAAAUUAAUUAA